Molecule: ribosomal RNA, 322 nt
Filed under: uncultured eukaryote
Lineage: Eukaryota
Description: partial 18S ribosomal RNA
Rfam family: Eukaryotic small subunit ribosomal RNA
Source: RNAcentral
CCCUUAGAUGUUCUGGGCCGCACGCGUGCUACACUGAGUGGAUCAGCGGGUCAGGUUGCGCGAAAGUGUUUCCUAAUCUUGAAAUCCGCUCGUGAUGGGGAUUGACGGUUGCAAUUUUCCGUCAUGAACGAGGAAUACCUUGUAAGCGCGGGUCAUCAUCCCGCGCUGAAUACGUCCCUGCCCUUUGUACACACCGCCCGUCGCUCCUACCGAUUGAGUGGUCCGGUGAGGCUUUGGGAUCUGAGCAAAAAGAGCGUUUCGCUCGUUUGGCUCGGAAAACUCAGUCGAACCUCAUCAUUUAGAGGAAGGAGAAGUCGUAACA